Molecule: ribosomal RNA, 497 nt
Filed under: uncultured bacterium
Lineage: Bacteria
Description: partial 16S ribosomal RNA
Rfam family: Bacterial small subunit ribosomal RNA
Source: RNAcentral
GACGAACGCUGGCGGCGUGCCUAAUACAUGCAAGUUGAGCGAUGAAGAUUGGUGCUUGCACCAAUUUGAAGAGCAGCGAACGGGUGAGUAACGCGUGGGGAAUCUGCCUUUGAGCGGGGGACAGCAUUUGGAAACGAAUGCUAAUACCGCAUAAUAACUUUAAACAUAAGUUUUAAGUUUGAAAGAUGCAAUUGCAUCACUCAAAGAUGAUCCCGCGUUGUAUUAGCUAGUUGGUGAGGUAAAGGCUCACCAAGGCGAUGAUACAUAGCCGACCUGAGAGGGUGAUCGGCCACAUUGGGACUGAGACACGGCCCAAACUCCUACGGGAGGCAGCAGUAGGGAAUCUUCGGCAAUGGACGAAAGUCUGACCGAGCAACGCCGCGUGAGUGAAGAAGGGUUUCGGAUCGUAAAACUCUGUUGGUAGAGAAGAACGUUGGUGAGAGUGGAAAGCUCAUCAAGUGACGGUAACUACCCAGAAAGGGACGGCUAACUACGUG